This 252-nucleotide ribosomal RNA is filed under the name uncultured bacterium. Its description in RNAcentral is "partial 16S ribosomal RNA". It matches the Rfam family "Bacterial small subunit ribosomal RNA", at positions 524 to 776 of the family's 1533-position model. The record is from RNAcentral.
UACGUAGGUCCCGAGCGUUGUCCGGAUUUAUUGGGCGUAAAGCGAGCGCAGGUGGUUUAUUAAGUCUGGUGUAAAAGGCAGUGGCUCAACCAUUGUAUGCAUUGGAAACUGGUAGACUUGAGUGCAGGAGAGGAGAGUGGAAUCCCAUGUGUAGCGGUGAAACGCGUAGAUAUAUGGAGGAACACCGGUGGCGAAAGCGGCUCUCUGGCCUGUAACUGACACUGAGGCUCGAAAGCGUGGGGAGCAAACAGG